This 292-nucleotide ribosomal RNA is filed under the name uncultured bacterium. Its description in RNAcentral is "partial 16S ribosomal RNA". It matches the Rfam family "Bacterial small subunit ribosomal RNA", at positions 505 to 796 of the family's 1533-position model. The record is from RNAcentral.
GUGCCAGCCGCCGCGGUAAUACGGAGGGGGCUAGCGUUGUUCGGAAUUACUGGGCGUAAAGCGCACGUAGGCGGACUGGAAAGUUGGGGGUGAAAUCCCGGGGCUCAACCUCGGAACUGCCUUCAAAACUAUCGGUCUGGAGUUCGAGAGAGGUGAGUGGAAUUCCGAGUGUAGAGGUGAAAUUCGUAGAUAUUCGGAGGAACACCAGUGGCGAAGGCGGCUCACUGGCUCGAUACUGACGCUGAGGUGCGAAAGCGUGGGGAGCAAACAGGAUUAGAAACCCGUGUAGUCC